RNAcentral lists this ribosomal RNA (845 nucleotides) under Arthrobacter sp. YB321. RNAcentral describes it as "bacterial SSU rRNA". It matches the Rfam family "Bacterial small subunit ribosomal RNA", at positions 68 to 923 of the family's 1533-position model. The record is from RNAcentral. Lineage: Bacteria; Bacillati; Actinomycetota; Actinomycetes; Micrococcales; Micrococcaceae.
GAUGAUCUCCAGCUUGCUGGGGGGAUUAGUGGCGAACGGGUGAGUAACACGUGAGUAACCUGCCCUUGACUCUGGGAUAAGCCUGGGAAACUGGGUCUAAUACUGGAUACGACCUUCCCACGCAUGUGGUGUUGGUGGAAAGCUUUUGUGGUUUUGGAUGGACUCGCGGCCUAUCAGCUUGUUGGUGGGGUAAUGGCCUACCAAGGCGACGACGGGUAGCCGGCCUGAGAGGGUGGACGGCCACACUGGGACUGAGACACGGCCCAGACUCCUACGGGAGGCAGCAGUGGGGAAUAUUGCACAAUGGGCGCAAGCCUGAUGCAGCGACGCCGCGUGAGGGAUGAAGGCCUUCGGGUUGUAAACCUCUUUCAGUAGGGAAGAAGCGAAAGUGACGGUACCUGCAGAAGAAGCGCCGGCUAACUACGUGCCAGCAGCCGCGGUAAUACGUAGGGCGCAAGCGUUAUCCGGAAUUAUUGGGCGUAAAGAGCUCGUAGGCGGUUUGUCGCGUCUGCCGUGAAAGUCCGGGGCUUAACUCCGGAUCUGCGGUGGGUACGGGCAGACUUGAGUGAUGUAGGGGAGACUGGAAUUCCUGGUGUAGCGGUGAAAUGCGCAGAUAUCAGGAGGAACACCGAUGGCGAAGGCAGGUCUCUGGGCAUUAACUGACGCUGAGGAGCGAAAGCAUGGGGAGCGAACAGGAUUAGAUACCCUGGUAGUCCAUGCCGUAAACGUUGGGCACUAGGUGUGGGGGACAUUCCACGUUUUCCGCGCCGUAGCUAACGCAUUAAGUGCCCCGCCUGGGGAGUACGGCCGCAAGGCUAAAACUCAAAGGAAUUGACGGGGGCCCG